Molecule: long non-coding RNA, 246 nt
Filed under: Lathyrus oleraceus (garden pea)
Lineage: Eukaryota; Viridiplantae; Streptophyta; Magnoliopsida; Fabales; Fabaceae
Description: Pisum sativum (pea) long non-coding RNA (PSAT_LNC016920)
Source: RNAcentral
UUUGAUAAAAAAUUUCAACAUUUUUAAAAGUCAGAAACUAUUUUUUAUCAAUUAAAAAUGAGAAAAAAUAACCUAAUUGAACUAAAAUCUCAAAUAAAUCUCAAAUCAAUUAAUAAAUUGAUGGGAAUAUUUUUCAUAGAUCCAUCAUCAUUCAAAUAGGUUGAGAAAAUAUUUUUGUAUUUUUUAAAUAUCAAAAACUAUUUAAAAUGAAUUAAAAAGAACCAGAAAAGAGAAAAUUAUUAAAAA